GACGAACGCUGGCGGCGUGCUUAACACAUGCAAGUCGAACGGAAAGGCCCUUUCGGGGGUACUCGAGUGGCGAACGGGUGAGUAACACGUGGGUGAUCUGCCCUGCACUUUGGGAUAAGCCUGGGAAACUGGGUCUAAUACCGAAUACACCCUGCUGGUCGCAUGGCCUGGUGGGGGAAAGCUUUUGCGGUGUGGGAUGGGCCCGCGGCCUAUCAGCUUGUUGGUGGGGUGAUGGCCUACCAAGGCGACGACGGUAGCCGGCCUGAGAGGGUGUCCGGCCACACUGGGACUGAGAUACGGCCCAGACUCCUACAGGAGGCAGCAGUGGGGAAUAUUGCACAAUGGGCGCAAGCCUGAUGCAGCGACGCGCGUGGGGAUGAC
Molecule: ribosomal RNA, 381 nt
Filed under: uncultured bacterium
Lineage: Bacteria
Description: bacterial SSU rRNA
Rfam family: Bacterial small subunit ribosomal RNA
Source: RNAcentral